UACAGAGGGGGCCAGCGUUAUUCGGAAUUAUUGGGCGUAAAGGGCGCGUAGGCGGCCAUGCGUGUCUUCCGUGAAAUCCCUCGGCUUAACUGAGGACGUGCGGAAGAAACUGCAAGGCUCGAGUCCGGGAGAGGGGGGUGGAAUUCCCAGUGUAGCGGUGAAAUGCGUAGAUAUUGGGAGGAACACCAGUGGCGAAGGCGGCUCACUGGACCGGAACUGACGCUGAGGCGCGAAAGCGUGGGUAGCAAACAGG
RNAcentral lists this ribosomal RNA (253 nucleotides) under uncultured bacterium. Its description in RNAcentral is "partial 16S ribosomal RNA". It matches the Rfam family "Bacterial small subunit ribosomal RNA", at positions 524 to 776 of the family's 1533-position model. The record is from RNAcentral.